Long non-coding RNA from Loxodonta africana (African savanna elephant), 198 nucleotides. It matches the Rfam family "ZNFX1 antisense RNA 1 conserved region 1". NCBI's taxonomy places the organism in Eukaryota, Metazoa, Chordata, Mammalia, Proboscidea, Elephantidae. The record is from Rfam.
AGCGAACGGCCCCGGUGGCCUAGUGUGUUACGGGGAGGGGGCGGGGCUAGACGCGGCCUUGACAACCAUCCGAUCGCUCGAGCCGGGCAACUUGGAGACUACAUCUCCCAGGGGUCCCUGCGCGGCGCGAAGGGAAGGGGAAGCGUCUCGAGGCCAGUGCGCAGGCUCGAGAGCCUCCUGUGGCUAUAUAAGUGAGGU